GAUUCUUUGACUUCCUGCAGCGUGAGUUCGCCGACAAGCCCCACAAGAUCGUCGAGUUCCAGGCCAUCCUGCUCGAUUACUACUACAUGAGCAUCGACAUUGCCGGUGUGGUCGACCGCCUGCAGGUCGUGUUCCAAGGGUACCCCAACCUCGUGCGUGCUUUCAACACUCUCCUGCUGAUGGGUUACGCUCUCAAGCAGGAUGACCAGCAGGGAGGAGGAGGAGCAGGUGAUGCCUAGACAUGGCUGUGUGCUUCCUGUUACUUAUUGGUGGAUCUCUGUACUGCCAGGGCUGCCCAUUCCGCACUUCCAGUAGUGGUCGUGUGGAAUAGACUGCCAAAUAAUAUCAGACUAUACCUGUGUUGUCCCGUGUUUCCUAUUAAAUGGUGGAUCUGUGUAGUUCCGGGUGCGCCGGUUCUCUUCACUUCCA
Long non-coding RNA from Setaria italica (foxtail millet), 429 nucleotides. RefSeq lists it as uncharacterized. Lineage: Eukaryota; Viridiplantae; Streptophyta; Magnoliopsida; Poales; Poaceae. The transcript has 2 exons. The record is from RefSeq and is a predicted model, not a curated record.